GUGGACGGUAGUGUAGCGUUAGCACAUCUGCCUGUGAAGCAGCUAGGUAGGGUUAGAUUCCCUGCGUCCAACC
RNAcentral lists this transfer RNA (73 nucleotides) under compost metagenome. Its description in RNAcentral is "tRNA-His". It matches the Rfam family "tRNA". From Rfam's summary of the family: Transfer RNA (tRNA) molecules are approximately 80 nucleotides in length. Their secondary structure includes four short double-helical elements and three loops (D, anti-codon, and T loops). Further hydrogen bonds mediate the characteristic L-shaped molecular structure. tRNAs have two regions of fundamental functional importance: the anti-codon, which is responsible for specific mRNA codon recognition, and the 3' end, to which the tRNAs corresponding amino acid is attached (by aminoacyl-tRNA synthetases). tRNAs cope with the degeneracy of the genetic code in two manners: having more than one tRNA (with a specific anti-codon) for a particular amino acid; and 'wobble' base-pairing, i.e. permitting non-standard base-pairing at the 3rd anti-codon position. The record is from RNAcentral.